This 497-nucleotide ribosomal RNA is filed under the name uncultured bacterium. RNAcentral describes it as "partial 16S ribosomal RNA". It matches the Rfam family "Bacterial small subunit ribosomal RNA", at positions 28 to 507 of the family's 1533-position model. The record is from RNAcentral.
GAUGAACGCUGGCGGCGUGCCUAAUACAUGCAAGUCGAGCGAACGGACGAGAAGCUUGCUUCUCUGAUGUUAGCGGCGGACGGGUGAGUAACACGUGGAUAACCUACCUAUAAGACUGGGAUAACUUCGGGAAACCGGAGCUAAUACCGGAUAAUAUUUUGAACCGCAUGGUUCAAAAGUGAAAGACGGUCUUGCUGUCACUUAUAGAUGGAUCCGCGCUGCAUUAGCUAGUUGGUAAGGUAACGGCUUACCAAGGCAACGAUGCAUAGCCGACCUGAGAGGGUGACCGGCCACACUGGAACUGAGACACGGUCCAGACUCCUACGGGAGGCAGCAGUAGGGAAUUUUCCGCAAUGGGCGAAAGCCUGACGGAGCAACGCCGCGUGAGUGAUGAAGGUCUUCGGAUCGUAAAACUCUGUUAUUAGGGACGAACAUAUGUGUAAGUAACUGUCCACAUCUUGACGGUACCUACACAGAAAGCCACGGCUAACUACGUG